AGGCAAGGAUUCAGUGACCAUAAGUCCAGC
This 30-nucleotide non-coding RNA is filed under the name Rattus norvegicus (Norway rat). Lineage: Eukaryota; Metazoa; Chordata; Mammalia; Rodentia; Muridae. The record is from RNAcentral.